RNAcentral lists this unclassified non-coding RNA (253 nucleotides) under uncultured Bacteroidota bacterium. Its description in RNAcentral is "uncultured Bacteroidetes bacterium contains 16S-23S intergenic spacer region". It matches the Rfam family "Bacterial small subunit ribosomal RNA", at positions 524 to 776 of the family's 1533-position model. The record is from RNAcentral. Lineage: Bacteria; Pseudomonadati; Bacteroidota.
UACGGAGGGUGCAAGCGUUGUCCGGAAUCAUUGGGUGUAAAGGGUGUGCAGACGGAAGUCUAAGUCGGAGGUGAAACCUUGCCGCUUAACGGUAAAAGUGCCUUCGAUACUGGAUUUCUUGAGUUCAGAAGAGGUUGGUGGAAUUCGUGGUGUAGCGGUGAAAUGCAUAGAUAUCACGAAGAACACCGGUGGUGAAGGCGGCCAACUGGUCCGAUACUGACGCUGAUACACGAGAGCGUGGGGAGCGAACAGG